CUUUACUAUAGCUUGACACUGAACAUUGAGCCUUGAUGUGUAGGAUAGGUGGGAGGCUUUGAAGUGUGGACGCCAGUCUGCAUGGAGCCGACCUUGAAAUACCACCCUUUAAUGUUUGAUGUUCUAACGUUGACCCGUGAUCCGGGUUGCGGACAGUGUCUGGUGGGUAGUUUGACUGGGGCGGUCUCCUCCUAAAGAGUAACGGAGGAGCACGAAGGUUGGCUAAUCCUGGUCGGACAUCAGGAGGUUAGUGCAAUGGCAUAAGCCAGCUUGACUGCGAGCGUGACGGCGCGAGCAGGUGCGAAAGCAGGUCAUAGUGAUCCGGUGGUUCUGAAUGGAAGGGCCAUCGCUCAACGGAUAAAAGGUACUCCGGGGAUAACAGGCUGAUACCGCCCAAGAGUUCAUAUCGACGGCGGUGUUUGGCACCUCGAUGUCGGCUCAUCACAUCCUGGGGCUGAAGUAGGUCCCAAGGGUAUGGCUGUUCGCCAUUUAAAGUGGUACGCGAGCUGGGUUUAGAACGUCGUGAGACAGUUCGGUCCCUA
This 542-nucleotide ribosomal RNA is filed under the name Escherichia coli. Its description in RNAcentral is "partial 23S ribosomal RNA". It matches the Rfam family "Bacterial large subunit ribosomal RNA", at positions 2099 to 2640 of the family's 2925-position model. The record is from RNAcentral. Lineage: Bacteria; Pseudomonadati; Pseudomonadota; Gammaproteobacteria; Enterobacterales; Enterobacteriaceae.